ACGAACGCUGGCGGCGUGCUUAACACAUGCAAGUCGAACGGAAAGGCCCUGCUUGCAGGGUACUCGAGUGGCGAACGGGUGAGUAACACGUGGGUGAUCUGCCCUGCACUUCGGGAUAAGCCUGGGAAACUGGGUCUAAUACCGGAUAGGAGCCAUUUUUAGUGUGAUGGUUGGAAAGUUUUUUCGGUGUAGGAUGAGCUCGCGGCCUAUCAGCUUGUUGGUGUGGUAAUGGCCUACCAAGGCGGCGACGGGUAGCCGGCCUGAGAGGGUGGACGGCCACAUUGGGACUGCGACACGGCCCAGACUCCUACGGGAGGCAGAAGUGGGGAAUAUUGAACAAUGGGCGCCAGCCUGAUGCAGCGACGCCGCGUGGGGGAUGACGGCCUUCGGGUUGUAAACUCCUUUCGCUAGGGACGAAGCUUUUUGUGACGGUACCUAGAUAAGAAGCACCGGCUAACUACGUG
This 464-nucleotide ribosomal RNA is filed under the name uncultured bacterium. Its description in RNAcentral is "partial 16S ribosomal RNA". It matches the Rfam family "Bacterial small subunit ribosomal RNA", at positions 29 to 507 of the family's 1533-position model. The record is from RNAcentral.